Long non-coding RNA from Pygocentrus nattereri (red-bellied piranha), 458 nucleotides. RefSeq lists it as uncharacterized. Lineage: Eukaryota; Metazoa; Chordata; Actinopteri; Characiformes; Serrasalmidae. The transcript is spliced from 3 exons. The record is from RefSeq and is a predicted model, not a curated record.
GCUUAGUGUGAGGUCCGUUUCAUAAAAGGGCCUGGAAGCUUUUAUGCGUGAUGUUUUCUGUGCUUUCUGUUUGUGCUUUAACAGAGAGACAUUUUCUGACAGCUUAGAAAAGAAAGAGUCCAGGUUUUUCUUGCGCAAUUAAGGCCAUUGCCAACAUAGUCACCCUCACAGUGGCAGAUGUAUGAGCCAAUCGUGUUCACGCAUUGUGCAUGGCGGCUGCAGUGGUGGUGGCCGGUUGCACACUCAUCUUCGUCUGAGGAGAGGACAGCACCAGGAAAGAUCACUGAGCAAAUCAGUUUGUGUGAGCCUCAAGACCCGAGGGCGUGCCUCAUCGCUGUGCAGUUCAUCCAGCAUCCAGAGGUCGGCUAAAGGAAGCGUGGUUCAUAUAUAUGCCGUUCGCGCACAUUAUGAUUGUGCUCAUUCAAAUCCCAUUUGAUAUAGCUGGUCUGCAUCUCUUU